This 229-nucleotide ribosomal RNA is filed under the name uncultured bacterium. RNAcentral's name for it is "partial 16S ribosomal RNA". It matches the Rfam family "Bacterial small subunit ribosomal RNA", at positions 568 to 796 of the family's 1533-position model. The record is from RNAcentral.
CGCGUAGGCGGUCUUGUCGGUCAGAUGUGAAAGCCCAGGGCUCAACCCUGGACGUGCAUUCGAAACAGCAAGACUUGAGUACGGGAGAGGAAAGCGGAAUUCCUGGUGUAGAGGUGAAAUUCGUAGAUAUCAGGAGGAACACCGAUGGCGAAGGCAGCUUUCUGGACCGAUACUGACGCUGAGGCGCGAAGGCGUGGGUAGCGAACAGGAUUAGAUACCCUGGUAGUCC